CCUACGGGCGGCAGCAGUGGGGAAUAUUGGGCAAUGGAGGAAACUCUGACCCAGCAACGCCGCGUGAAGGAUGAAGGUUUUCGCAUUGUAAACUUCUGUCGCGCGGGAUGAAGAAUGACGGUACCUCGUAAGAAAGCCCCGGCAAACUACGUGCCAGCAGCCGCGGUAAUACGUAGGGGGCGAGCGUUGUCCGGAAUGACUGGGCGUAAAGGGGGUGUAGGCGGCGGUGCAAGUCUGAAGUGAAAGCCCAGGGCUCAACCCUGGGACUGCUUUGGAAACUGUGGAGCUAGAGUGCUGGAGAGGUAAGUGGAAUGCGUAGUGUAGCGGUGAAAUGCGUAGAUAUUAGGAGGAACACCAGUGGCGAAGGCGGCUUACUGGACAGUAACUGACGUUGAGGCUCGAAAGCGUGGGGAGCAAACAGGAUUAGAUACCCCGGUAGUC
This 441-nucleotide ribosomal RNA is filed under the name uncultured bacterium. RNAcentral's name for it is "partial 16S ribosomal RNA". It matches the Rfam family "Bacterial small subunit ribosomal RNA", at positions 338 to 795 of the family's 1533-position model. The record is from RNAcentral.